AGACAUUCCCGCACCCGGUAACGUCCUUCAGCUGGCCCCUAAACAAAUAUAUACUAGUUCAGUGAUAAUGAACGCCAUACUAAUUUCCGAAUUGUACACAAGAAACUAAAAUUAAAAAAAUACAAGACUAACAAAGGCCAGAGGCUCCUGACUUGGGACAGGUGCAAAAAUGCGGCGGGGUUAAACAUGUUUAUGAGAUCUCAACCCUCCCCCUAUACCUCUAGCCAAUGUAGAAAAGUAAAUGCAUAACAAUACGCACAUUUAAAAUUCAAUUCAAGAGAAGUCCGAGUCUGAUGUCAGAAGAUGUAACCAAAGAAAAUAAACAAAAUGACAAUAAUACAUAAAUAACAACAGACUACUAGCAGUUAGCUGAUAUGCCAGCUCCAGACUUCAAUUAAACUGAUUGAAAGAUUAUGAUUUCAUCAUAUGAAUAUCAGGCACAAUCCUUCCCGUUAGGGGUUUAGUAUCAUACCA
Molecule: long non-coding RNA, 474 nt
Filed under: Mytilus galloprovincialis (Mediterranean mussel)
Lineage: Eukaryota; Metazoa; Mollusca; Bivalvia; Mytilida; Mytilidae
Source: RNAcentral